Molecule: ribosomal RNA, 2074 nt
Filed under: Chaetogammarus marinus
Lineage: Eukaryota; Metazoa; Arthropoda; Malacostraca; Amphipoda; Gammaridae
Description: partial 18S ribosomal RNA
Rfam family: Eukaryotic small subunit ribosomal RNA
Source: RNAcentral
CCCGAGGCUGGUGCUUGCUUGUCUUGCGCUUCGCUCCGACGGAUGCUUUUAUUAGACCAAGCCGCUGAGGACUUGAGGGUGUUAAAACCUUCCUGUUCGACUCGUGUGAUGGUGACUCUGGAUAACCAAUUCUGACAAGCGCACGUACUCCUCUUCUGAGCGAGACGGCGCUGCCACUUUCGAGUGUCUGCCUUAUCAGCUAUCAACCGUUCGUUAUGCGCGACCGAUGGCUUUGACGGGUAACGGGGAAUCAGGGUUCGAUUCCGGAGAGGCAGCCUGAGAGACGGCUACCACGUCCAAGGACGGCAGCAGGCACGCAAAUUACCCAAUCCCAGCAAAUGGGGGAGGUAGUGACGAAAUCUAACGAUGCGGGCGCCCUUUCUGGGGCCCCGCAAUCGGAAUGGGCACUUUCUAAAACACCUGUUGAGAACCUACUGAAGGGCAAGUCUGGUGCCAGCAGCCGCGCUAAUUCCAGCUUCAGCAGCAUCUAUUAAAGUUGCUGCGGUUAAAAGGCUCGCAGUUGAAUGUCUGUAUCGAGCGCAGGUCAGGUGGACGUUGGGGCGUGGAAGUACGGGCAGUUGGAUGUGCGUGCUCGCGCGUUGUCACACUCCUUCUCUUCGGAGUUGCCUGUGUGUGUUCUUCGUGUGUCUCGUGUGUUCUUCGGCUUUUCCACACACCGCCGUCCGUGACAAGCCUCCUCGCUCGGGUACAUAACGGGAAUCGGUUACCGGAGUGUAGUUCGAGAUGUGUUGAGUUGGUGGCGUUUGUGUUGGGGCGCAAGUUCCUUCGCUCGGUCGUCUCUCUUCUUGCGUUUCGGCUGCGUUAAGCUCCAUCGGUUUCACGGUCACCUUGAGUAAAUCAGAGUGCUCAAAGCAGUCGUAAGGGCCUUGCGCCCUGUGAACAGUCUUGACGGACUGACUUGGUUUUGCAUGGCAUGUCGGAAGACGACGUCGUGUGCUGGCUCAGAGGAUAAAUCAGUGGUACAAGCCAGCCUCGACGUAAUGAUUAAAAGGGACGGUCGAGGGCAUUGGUAUUGCGAGGCGAGAGGUGAAAUUCUGUGACCCCCGCAAGACCUCCUGAAGCGAAAGCGUUUGCCAAGGACGUUUUCAUUAAUCAUGAACGAAAGUUAGAGGAUCGAAGGCGAUCAGAUACCGCCCUAGUUCUAACCCUAAACGAUGCCAACCAUCAAUCCGCGCGCAGCACCCUUCUUAACGGGCUCGGCGGGCAGCUCCCCACUCACGGGAAACCAGAGCCUCUGGGUUCCGGGGGGAGUCUGGUUGCAAAGCUGAAACUUAAAGGAAUUGACGGAAAGGCACCACCAGGCGUGGAGCCUGCGGCUUAAUUUGACUCAACACGGGCCAUCUCACCAGGCCAGCACUCUUGUACGAUUGACAGAUUGAGAGCUCUUUCUCGAUUCAGUGGAGGGGGGGGCACGGCCGUUUCUAGUGGUGGGAGUGAUCUGUCUGGUUAAUUCUGAUAACGAGCGAGACUCUCCCCCGCUAACUAUUGGGUGGGAUAUUGAUCACAGGGUGGCGUGUGGAGUAACUCUCGCUGCGUGCGCGCACAUGUGUUGUGUUGGGGGGGGUCUUUUUUGGGGCAACCCGCUUGAGCGUCGUUUGCGUGCGGUCGUGUGUGUGUGCGUGGUGUUGGAUGCCUUGGAUCACACUGCACCCCAAGUCCGCCGCUUAUGCUAUAACUCUUCUUAGAGGGAUUCACGGCACUGAAGCCGUAAGAGACUGAGAGCAAUAACAGGUCUGUGAUGCCCUUAGAUGCUCUGGGCCGCACGCGCGCUACAAUGCCGGGCACAGCAGGUGUUCUUCCUGCUCCGACAGGAGCGGGUAACCCUCUGAAAGCCAGUGUUUUUGCAAGUGCUUCCUCCCUCGUGGAGUUGCACAGAGGCGUGCUUGGGCCUGGGACUUGCAAUUCUUUCCCACCAACGAGGAAUGCCUAGUAGCGGCGGGUCACUGAGCCCGCUGUGACUCAGUCCCUGCCCUUUGUACACACCGCCCGUCGCUACUACCGAUUGGGUGUACCAGUGAGAGCCUUGGACUGGCGUCCGUUGUCGCUUUCGGUG